This is a long non-coding RNA of Polypterus senegalus (gray bichir), 424 nucleotides long. RefSeq lists it as uncharacterized. The record is from RefSeq and is a predicted model, not a curated record. Lineage: Eukaryota; Metazoa; Chordata; Cladistia; Polypteriformes; Polypteridae. The transcript is spliced from 3 exons.
UACUUUUAGUCAUACUACCGUUACUUUCUGAGUAUAACUUGACACUCAGUUAAAAGCAUACCCUCGUGGGGUUUUGGUCUCUUCCUCUGCUACUAAUCAGAAAAGGUCAAUGGGAAGAAGAGGAUGAUGGCCAUACAACAGGGACCUGUUGAACUGCUCUGCCAGUUUCCUUUGUGGAUUUUAACGGGAGGUCCUCAAAUGGUGUACCCCAGACAGUUGUAUGAGGGCUCUGAAUAAUUUGUUUUCGAAUUCCCGCCCCUUUCAUGAUGAAGUCUUGGUGGGUAUCCAAAUCGGGGUAUAAAGUCAUUAACAUUAAAGACCUUGUCAGCGGCUGUUUUGCCCUCAUUGUUUUUAGUGGGAUAUGCCUGUGCAAAUCUGGUGAAAUGGUCGACUACAACCAGAAUGUACUCAUAUCCACCCCUAC